AAAAGAAACCAACAGGGAUUCCCUUAGUAAGUGCGACUGAAACGGGAUGAGCCCAGCGCAUAAUCUCAUGUUUACCAUUAAUUUGGCAUGAGAGGUGUUGCGUUUCAGAGAGAUCUAGCAUUUUGUUUCACACCAUCUAAGUUUCCGAGUGAAUGCGUCCUAUGCCCCUGGAGGGUGAUAGGCCCGUGUGAUGGAAGUCAAUUCCCGUGAGGGGAUGAUGGAACAUUAUAAAGGAUCUUACUCUGUAGAGUCGGGUUGCUUGAGACUGCAACCCAAAGAGGUGGUAAACUCCAUCUAAGGCUAAAUAUAACCACGAGU
Molecule: ribosomal RNA, 318 nt
Filed under: Galathea squamifera
Lineage: Eukaryota; Metazoa; Arthropoda; Malacostraca; Decapoda; Galatheidae
Description: eukaryotic LSU rRNA
Rfam family: Eukaryotic large subunit ribosomal RNA
Source: RNAcentral